Molecule: ribosomal RNA, 805 nt
Filed under: uncultured bacterium
Lineage: Bacteria
Description: bacterial SSU rRNA
Rfam family: Bacterial small subunit ribosomal RNA
Source: RNAcentral
UUGAUCGCUAGCGGCAUGCCUAACACAUGCAAGUCGAACGGGACAGCGCGGAGAGAACUUGUUUUUCUCUAGCGAGUUGAGUGGCGAACGGGUGAGUGAUGCGUAUGAAUCUACCUUUUAGAGGGGGAUAACCCGAGGAAACUCGGGCUAAUACCGCGUAGUAUCUCUUUUCAUAGAAAAGUUGAAGAAAGCGGGGGAUCCUUGAGUUUUUUUAAGGACCUCGCGCUAAAAGAUGAGCCUGCGUCGGAUUAGUUAGUUGGUGGGGUAAUAGCCCACCAAGACGAUGAUCCGUAGCUGGUCUGAGAGGAUGAUCAGCCACACUGGGACUGAGACACGGCCCAGACUCCUAUGGGAGGCAGCAGUGGGGAAUAUUGGACAAUGGGGGAAACCCUGAUCCAGCAAUGCCGCGUGUGUGAAGAAGGCCUUCGGGUUGUAAAGCACUUUCAGCAGGAAAGAAAGUCUUAAAGUUAAUACCUUUAAUGAGUUGACGUUACCUGCAGAAGAAGCACUGGCUAACUCUGUGCCAGCAGCCGCGGUAAUACAGAGAGUGCAAGCGUUAAUCGGAAUUACUGGGCGUAAAGCGCGCGUAGGUGGAUAUUAAGGUCGGGUGUGAAAGCCCCGAGCUUAACUCGGGAAUUGCGUUCGAUACUGAGUAUCUAGAGUAUAGUAGAGGGAAGUGGAAUUUCCGGUGUAGCGGUGAAAUGCGUAGAUAUCGGAAGGAACACCAGUGGCGAAGGCGGCUUCCUGGACUAAUACUGACACUGAGGUGCGAAAGCGUAGGGAGCAAACAGGAUUAGAUACCCUG